UUUCCGUAGGUGAACCUGCGGAAGGAUCAUUAUUGAAAUAAACCUGAUGGGUUGUUGCUGGUUCUCUAGGGAGCAUGUGCACGCCUUGUCAUCUUUAUAUCUCCACCUGUGCACUUUUUGUAGGCCUUUCAGGUCUAUGCUGCUUCAUUUACCCCAAUGUAUGUCAAUAGAAUGUUGUGCCUAUUUAAUAUAUACAACUUUCAGCAACGGAUCUCUUGGCUCUC
Molecule: unclassified non-coding RNA, 224 nt
Filed under: plant metagenome
Description: partial contains small subunit ribosomal RNA, internal transcribed spacer 1, and 5.8S ribosomal RNA
Source: RNAcentral